CUCAAGGCCAUUUGCUUGAGUCCUGGGGUCGCUGGGCAGAGGUUUCAGGAGCAGAAGCUACCAAAUAUUGUCAGCCUGACCUGCCCAGAGAAAGAACCGCGCAGAGCCCUGGAUGGGCCCUGCAGUCCCUGGACUCAGUCUCACCUCUGUACCAUUUUGGUCCUCACCCACGGCCCAGGCUGCUCUGGCAGCUUCUGUGGCAGCCCUGGAGGCAUUCAAAAGAUGGCAUGUGGAGAAGUUCCAGACUGUUUUCCAGACACUGGUAUUACAGGUUUGACAAGGAUGUGAAAAAUCACAGCCUGUAGGCCAAACCCAGCCCUGAGGCCUGCCGAUGCCCAGAAGUGGAAGAUGGCUCAGAGAGUAUAACUCCUGCUAAUCCCUAGAGCAAAUCUGGCUUACCAGGAGCAGUGGGGACAGGCUAAAGGCUCAGAGCAAAGAUAUUUGCUGAGAGGACGAAUGAGUAGAAGGAAGGUAGUGGGUCUGCGCUGGAUGGGUGAACUCGAGGCCCCGGACAUCCCAGGAGACAGGCCCGCAGAAGUGGGAAUCAGCUUGCUAAAGCCAGUGGUUCAGACGGAAGGGGCCGAUGGGAAUCCAGAAGGGACAAAGGACCAAGGCCUCAGCAUGCUGACAGAACGUCACUUCUAACCUUUGACCUGAGCAUGCUGGGUGGCAGUCCUGUGGUCUGG
Lontra canadensis (Northern American river otter) is the source of this 686-nucleotide long non-coding RNA. RefSeq lists it as uncharacterized. The record is from RefSeq and is a predicted model, not a curated record. NCBI's taxonomy places the organism in Eukaryota, Metazoa, Chordata, Mammalia, Carnivora, Mustelidae. The transcript has 3 exons.